RNAcentral lists this ribosomal RNA (537 nucleotides) under Calonectria canadiana. RNAcentral's name for it is "eukaryotic LSU rRNA". The stretch from base 150 to 303 matches the Rfam family "5.8S ribosomal RNA". The record is from RNAcentral. Lineage: Eukaryota; Fungi; Ascomycota; Sordariomycetes; Hypocreales; Nectriaceae.
GGGAUCAUUACCGAGUUUACAACUCCCAAACCCCAUGUGAACAUACCUGUUUCGUUCCCUCGGCGGUGUCCGGCAACGGCCCGCCAGAGGACCCAACAAACUCUUUUGAAUUUUUCAGUAUCUUCUGAGUAAAAAAAACAAUAAAUCAAAACUUUCAACAACGGAUCUCUUGGUUCUGGCAUCGAUGAAGAACGCAGCGAAAUGCGAUAAGUAAUGUGAAUUGCAGAAUUCAGUGAAUCAUCGAAUCUUUGAACGCACAUUGCGCCCGCCAGUAUUCUGGCGGGCAUGCCUGUUCGAGCGUCAUUUCAACCCUCAAGCACCUUCGGGAGCUUGGUGUUGGGGAUCGGCAGGGCGUCCUCCGGGUCGCGCCGUCCCCCAAAUCUAGUGGCGGUCUCGCUGUAGCUUCCUCUGCGUAGUAAUACACCUCGCUCUGGAGUCUCGGUGCGGCCACGCCGUAAAACCCCCAACUUUUUUCUGGUUGACCUCGAAUCAGGUAGGACUACCCGCUGAACUUAAGCAUAUCAUAUGCGGAAGGAA